CACAUUUGUUGAAAUUUAUUUCGCUCUCUUACUGGUUAUAAUAUUGACUAAUUUACUUACGUAAAAUCUCAUCGUCAAAACUCGAUAUUUUUACUUUCCUUCGCUGUCAUUUAAAAAUUUAUACUUUAUUCCUUUAUAAAAUAAAAAAUAUUCACUUCGUCCCUUGCCGUUAGUAAGCCGUUAGGGUUUCGUUUAUAAAAUAUUAUUAUAUAUUUUUUUAUACUAAAAAUGCCCUCAGCUUUCUCUCCUGUGAACAUGAUGAGAGACAAAAUGAUGAGGGGCAAAAUAGUCACUUUAUCAUCACAGUUCACACCGUACUCUCUGUAAAUAUUUUUUAUUUUACAAUGAGUCAAAGUGUAAGUUUUUAAAUGACAGAAAGGAGAAGUGAAAAAUCAGAUUUUGACAGAAGAAUUUUCUGUAAUUUAGCCUAUAAUAUUAUUUGAUAAAAUACUACUUGAGUGAUGUUAUUGGGUAAAAUUAGAAAUUUUAAGU
RNAcentral lists this long non-coding RNA (492 nucleotides) under Ananas comosus (pineapple). Its description in RNAcentral is "long non-coding RNA (ACOM_LNC011631)". The record is from RNAcentral. Lineage: Eukaryota; Viridiplantae; Streptophyta; Magnoliopsida; Poales; Bromeliaceae.